UAACGCGUGGGUAACCUGCCUCAUACAGGGGAUAACAGUUAGAAAUGACUGCUAAUACCGCAUAAGCGCACAGUGCUGCAUGGCACAGUGUGAAAAACUCCGGUGGUAUGAGAUGGACUCGCGUCUGAUUAGCUAGUUGGUGGGGUAACGGCCUACCAAGGCGACGAUCAGUAGCCGGCCUGAGAGGGUGAACGGCCACAUUGGGACUGAGACACGGCCCAA
RNAcentral lists this ribosomal RNA (222 nucleotides) under uncultured bacterium. RNAcentral's name for it is "partial 16S ribosomal RNA". It matches the Rfam family "Bacterial small subunit ribosomal RNA", at positions 111 to 334 of the family's 1533-position model. The record is from RNAcentral.